This 253-nucleotide unclassified non-coding RNA is filed under the name uncultured Halomonadaceae bacterium. Its description in RNAcentral is "contains 16S-23S intergenic spacer region". It matches the Rfam family "Bacterial small subunit ribosomal RNA", at positions 524 to 776 of the family's 1533-position model. The record is from RNAcentral. Lineage: Bacteria; Pseudomonadati; Pseudomonadota; Gammaproteobacteria; Oceanospirillales; Halomonadaceae.
UACGGAGGGUGCGAGCGUAAAACGGAAUUACGGGGCGAAAAGCGCGCGUAGGUGGCGUGAUAAGCCGGUUGUGAAAGCCCAGGGCUCAACCUGGGAACGGCAUCCGGAACUGUCAGGCUAGAGUGCAGGAGAGGAAGGUAGAAUUCCCGGUGUAGCGGUGAAAUGCGUAGAGAUCGGGAGGAAUACCAGUGGCGAAGGCGGCCUUCUGGACUGACACUGACACUGAGGUGCGAAAGCGUGGGUAGCAAACAGG